UUCAAAGUCAACUUCGUCCUCAACUCCUCUCCUCUCUUCACCCGUGUCUACUUCCUCUUACCCCCUCGUCGAUCUCCCCACUAAAUCAGCCUCGUCGGCGACGAGCGGUUCGCCGGGAAGCCGCAGGGUGGUCGUCCUGGUGGGUGGGAGUGGUGGAGCAGCCUCUCUGCGGACGCGCGGAUCGACGCGUCCGAGGCGGGCGCUGGGAUUCGACGCAUUUGAGGUGGGGUGGACGGGCUUGGAGGCGGAGGCGAGAGGGCAUCGGCGGCGUGGUGCUGCGUCCAGGCUGCGGUGUACUUCUGUCUUUUUUUUUUUGAGCUGGUGAGAGCUUGGAUCUCGGGUGUUUACCCAUCCGGUUGUUCCUUUUCCGCGGUGGUGAUGUAGGGUCGAUGUGCUUUAGAUUUUAGUUGCUUAGCGGUCGAUUUGAAUUUGAUCGUACUUGCAGAGACAUAGCCCCGGCUGGAAGAUGUGAAGGCUAUGGUGGCAAAUUCUUCGUCCAAUUUUUAGGACUGAACGAGUGUUCCAGCAGAUUAAUCCACAGAUGUAAAUAAAGCCAAUAUAUUUACAUCUACGUGGCAGCAGGGAGAGGCCUGGUACUUCUUGUCGAUUACGUAGGAAAAACAUUCAUCUACGGGUUGCAAAGCAAGCGAUGUAUUUUGUUACACUAAAAGGACGAUGGUGCAGUUGAUAUUUACUUUGUGUUUUGCCGACUGCAGAUGUGAAUGUAUUUUUUUACUGUACAAGAUUUACACUUUUUUCUUCCAUGUACUACUGACAAUGCGUCACAGAAGGAGUACUAGGUCGUUGGGCUUUUGGGGUCUGCAUUAA
Molecule: long non-coding RNA, 828 nt
Organism: Lolium perenne
Lineage: Eukaryota; Viridiplantae; Streptophyta; Magnoliopsida; Poales; Poaceae
Source: RefSeq, a predicted model, not a curated record